Myotis daubentonii (Daubenton's bat) is the source of this 3110-nucleotide long non-coding RNA. RefSeq lists it as uncharacterized. The transcript is spliced from 9 exons. Lineage: Eukaryota; Metazoa; Chordata; Mammalia; Chiroptera; Vespertilionidae. The record is from RefSeq and is a predicted model, not a curated record.
AAAAUUAUAAUUAUAACUUCACGUUGGUAACUGGACAAGGACAACAAUGCCACCAGUGGCUUCUGAGGGUUUCCUUCUAAUGCACAGGAAGCAUUCAUCAGGAAGUGCUUGAAAGGUGUGCGUGUAUUAAAUAUCCGGUCCUUGUCCUGUCACCAUUACUAAGAUGUCUGGAUAUGUAAAAGCCUGUAUGAUGAUAAGCAAAUACUGACUGAAUGUGGACUUAGUCUCUUGACAUGUCUGGACUGGCUUGAUUUACUUCUUCUGUUGGAUACACAUUUUUAUCAAUGGAUGGCGUGCUUGGGAUGCAGGUUUUGGAGACAUUUAAAAUAAAGGUGUGAGAAGUUGGGUUGGCUACAAGUCCAGGAGUAAAGAGUUUUAGCAGAGGCAGACCUGAAACCGUGGAGAUUUCCAGGCAUUUAUGGUAGCGGUCAUGGCAACUGGCUGACCUUUGAGAGGCAGCUGGAUGGAUACUCAUGGGAUAGAAGAUCAACUUUGAAUUUUAAUAAAUUUUUAUAAACCAUCUGAUCAAGUCUGCUUAUUUCAUCUUAAUGGGAUGAAGGAAAAUAGGACAUUUUUGUGAGUAAGACCCCAUGGCAGCAUACUGCCAACUCACCUUUUCAUGUGUACUUCAUAGAUUCAUAGGAUGUCUUCGUCUUUGAAAGUGCAGUUUAUGCUGAGAAAUAAACUAUAGACCUUCAGUGUUCCCCUUACUGCCCAAAAUGGGCAGGUGAGCCAUUGAAACAUGAGCUUACACAGAUAAAAUUGCAAAGAAAAGCAGGUGAUCUUAAUGUAGAGAGUGCUGAAGCUAGAAACCUCCAUUGGCUGUAAACACCUUGGUGCUUGGUCUCUGGCUAAAAUUGAUGAGAGUCCCCCUGACUGGCUGUCUCAGGGAUGAAUCCCUCAACAGGAAAGAGCCUAGAAAGAACAAGGGGGGGUGUUGAAAAAUUUUGAGGUUGGCACUGUGGUUAUAGCAAUGUCCUUUAUCUUUAGAAGAUCAAUUAAUUUUUGCAAAUAAAAUGUUGGAAGCAUACAUUAGGGCAAGUGAGAAUAUUAGUUAUCCAGUGGGUUGCCAGUGAAUUUCUCUAAGAAACCAUUAACUGGCUUCUUGCAGCUUUGAAAAUCCUAGUCAAUACCUGCCAAUCAAAUUCCAGCUCACUUUUGAGCUGUGAUUUCACAUUUUCUCCAAGUAGGCGCUGUUUUGAGUUCUAACACUUCCAGGGUAUGAGGAAAUAUUUCAAGUUAGCGCUAGCUGCAUUUAGACCCCUACUUUGAAGUUCCUUUGGACCAGUGGUUCUCAACCUUCCUAAUGCCGUGACCCUUUAAUACAGUUCCUCAUGUUGUGGGGACCCCCGAUUUCAUUGCUACAAAUUGAACAUAAUUAAAGCAUAGUGAUAAAUCACAAAAACAAUAUGUAAUUAUAUGUUUUCCAAUGGUCUUAGGUGACCCCUGUAAAAGGGUCAUUUGACCCCCAAAGGGGUCGCGACCUACAGGUUGAGAACCGCUGCUUUAGGCUUAAUGCUUGUUCUGCAGGAAAAUUUAAAUAUUCAUAUUCAUUUCCGUUCCUGGUUCCUACUCAAAUGUCCUGCCACAAGGCCCUGAGACAUCCUGAAAAUGGACCAUCCACACCAGCACUACCUCUUAAAUUAUGCACUUGUGCAUGUUUUCACCUAAUAAGAUGUUACUCCAUGAGAGGGAUUUGGUCUGUUGUAUUGCAGUAUUUCCCAAGCUUUUAUCAGUAGGUGGUUAUAUUUAUUGAAUGAAGAGUGAUCAGAUGAAGUCUUUGAGAAGUUUUAGUGACUUGAGUGCCAAAAGGCUGACGAUAAAAUACCCUGGUCUCGAAAUGGGGAAUAAGUCUGAGCUAAAGCAAAAUCCAGCAUGAAGAAGGUCCAUGGCCUGGAUGGCUGCAGUUAGUCAACUGGCUGGGGGAAGAUUGCCCACAGAGUGGUUGGUUAAUUGAAGCAGUGAACUUGAAGUAUAUGAACUACAACCAUUAGUCCUGUCAUGUUAAUAAGCUUGGGUGAUGAAAGAAACGACUUUUUUGGACAAUGAACUAUAUGCUGUUUAAGAUAGCCCACAGAGUGCUUAAUGAAGCAUUGAGUCUCAAGUAUAUGAGAAAAAUAACUUGAACAAUUACUAUAUUGUUUUCAUCCUUUUGAUGACAGCAGAUUAGGAAUUGUCUUCAUUUUUUACAGAUAGAGAAUCAAGUUAACAGGCCACAAGGGUAACAGUCAAUAUACGGCAACAUGUUUGUAGUGAACAGAAGGCACUGAAGGAUCUCCCGGUGUGGGAAAGGGCCAAAACCCCACUAGAAAGACUAGGCAGGAAAGACUAGUUUUGGUUUGAAAGUCCCAGUGGUGUACUCAAAGGGAAAGUUGGGGAGACAAACCUUGUAUCCAAAAGUGGGACUAGGUUGGUUUAAAAAUGUGACCUUUGGUGAACACCAGUGGGAAGUUGGACUAUUAUGUGCCCUCAUUCCAGAAACAUGUAACUAACCUGUCACAUCAUGGGGAGGUGUGGGAGGUGCUAUUACAGCACUGGUAACUAGUAUGAAUCCCUGGUUCCCAGUUUUAUACUUCCAAUAUCAUUGAUUUGGGCCCCUGAAAAAGUUACACCCAUUUACUAAUGGAUAUCUUGUAAUUUGAGGAAAAGAUCACAUUGACCCUGACCUCAACCCCAUCACAGCCAACCAUGGGGAAUUUGAGUAUGUUUCACUGCAUACCCUGCCAAAAAAAAAUGUCUCAUGUAGUUAAAUUCAGGCUGAAAGGCUGGGUUCCAUAAUUCAAAACCAGUGGUUUGUUCUUAAAAACUUAUCACAGCUUUUAAGGAAAUCUUAUUAAAGGAAUUCUCAAGCUCCUUAACAUCUCGGGGCUUAAAUGGUAAAUUAUGUUUAUUCCAGACAAAAAGCUAGAGGAAGUGGUGUACUGUGCUGUACAAAUGAGAAAGCUGAGACUCUGGUUUACCCCAGGCAUUGAAAGGUCAAGGCUAAGAAGCCAGCAUAGCAACAAGCUGCCAGCAUUUGAGGGGUCUGCUGUAAGGCCUUCCCUAUUGGUAAGGCUGGUCCUUCUCUGCAUGACCUCACAGUUGACUGAAUCAUAUCAAUAUGAUCUGUU